Molecule: transfer RNA, 69 nt
Filed under: Pimephales vigilax (bullhead minnow)
Lineage: Eukaryota; Metazoa; Chordata; Actinopteri; Cypriniformes; Leuciscidae
Description: tRNA-Arg
Rfam family: tRNA
About the family: Transfer RNA (tRNA) molecules are approximately 80 nucleotides in length. Their secondary structure includes four short double-helical elements and three loops (D, anti-codon, and T loops).
Source: RNAcentral
AGAGAGCUAGUCUAAGAAAGACCUCUGAUUUCGGCUCAGGAAAUUGUGGUUAAAAUCCACAGCCCUCUU